UCCGGUAUGAUCUAGUGGCUAGAAUACCUGGCUCUCACCUUGGAGGCUAGGGCUCGAUUCCUGGUACCGGAA
Non-coding RNA from Dryococelus australis, 72 nucleotides. The record is from the annotation of a GenBank genome assembly. NCBI's taxonomy places the organism in Eukaryota, Metazoa, Arthropoda, Insecta, Phasmatodea, Phasmatidae.